GAUGAACGCUGGCGGCGUGCUUAACACAUGCAGGUCGAACGGUGAAGCCAAGCUUGCUUGGUGGAUCAGUGGCGAACGGGUGAGUAACACGUGAGCAACCUGCCCUGGACUCUGGGAUAAGCGCUGGAAACGGCGUCUAAUACUGGAUAUGAGACGUGAUCGCAUGGUCGUGUUUGGAAAGAUUUUUCGGUCUGGGAUGGGCUCGCGGCCUAUCAGCUUGUUGGUGAGGUAAUGGCUCACCAAGGCGUCGACGGGUAGCCGGCCUGAGAGGGUGACCGGCCACACUGGGACUGAGACACGGCCCAGACUCCUACGGGAGGCAGCAGUGGGGAAUAUUGCACAAUGGGCGAAAGCCUGAUGCAGCAACGCCGCGUGAGGGAUGACGGCCUUCGGGUUGUAAACCUCUUUUAGCAGGGAAGAAGCGAAAGUGACGGUACCUGCAGAAAAAGCGCCGGCUAACUACGUGCCAGCAGCCGCGGUAAUACGUAGGGCGCAAGCGUUAUCCGGAAUUAUUGGGCGUAAAGAGCUCGUAGGCGGUUUGUCGCGUCUGCUGUGAAAUCCCGAGGCUCAACCUCGGGCCUGCAGUGGGUACGGGCAGACUAGAGUGCGGUAGGGGAGAUUGGAAUUCCUGGUGUAGCGGUGGAAUGCGCAGAUAUCAGGAGGAACACCGAUGGCGAAGGCAGAUCUCUGGGCCGUAACUGACGCUGAGGAGCGAAAGGGUGGGGAGCAAACAGGCUUAGAUACCCUGGUAGUCCACCCCGUAAACGUUGGGAACUAGUUGUGGGGACCAUUCCACGGUUUCCGUGACGCAGCUAACGCAUUAAGUUCCCCGCCUGGGGAGUACGGCCGCAAGGCUAAAACUCAAAGGAAUUGACGGGGACCCGCACAAGCGGCGGAGCAUGCGGAUUAAUUCGAUGCAACGCGAAGAACCUUACCAAGGCUUGACAUAUACGAGAACGGGCCAGAAAUGGUCAACUCUUUGGACACUCGUAAACAGGUGGUGCAUGGUUGUCGUCAGCUCGUGUCGUGAGAUGUUGGGUUAAGUCCCGCAACGAGCGCAACCCUCGUUCUAUGUUGCCAGCACGUAAUGGUGGGAACUCAUGGGAUACUGCCGGGGUCAACUCGGAGGAAGGUGGGGAUGACGUCAAAUCAUCAUGCCCCUUAUGUCUUGGGCUUCACGCAUGCUACAAUGGCCGGUACAAAGGGCUGCAAUACCGUGAGGUGGAGCGAAUCCCAAAAAGCCGGUCCCAGUUCGGAUUGAGGUCUGCAACUCGACCUCAUGAAGUCGGAGUCGCUAGUAAUCGCAGAUCAGCAACGCUGCGGUGAAUACGUUCCCGGGUCU
RNAcentral lists this ribosomal RNA (1342 nucleotides) under uncultured bacterium. RNAcentral's name for it is "bacterial SSU rRNA". It matches the Rfam family "Bacterial small subunit ribosomal RNA", at positions 28 to 1381 of the family's 1533-position model. The record is from RNAcentral.